AUUGAACGCUGGCGCAUGCCUUACACAUGCAAGGUCGAACGGUAACGGGCCUUCGGGUGCCGACGAGUGGCGAACGGUGAGUAAUGCAUCGGAACGUACCUUCAGUGGGGAUAACGUAGCGAAAGUUACGCUAAUACCGCAUAUUCUGUGAGCAGGAAAGCAGGGGAUCGCAAGACCUUGCGCUGAUUGAGCGGCCGAUGUCAGAUUAGCUAGUUGGUGAGGUAAAGGCUCACCAAGGCGACGAUCUGUAGCGGGGUCUGAGAGGAUGAUCCGCCACACUGGAACUGAGACACGGUCCAGACUCCUACGGGAGGCAGCAGUGGGGAAUUUUGGACAAUGGGGCAACCCUGAUCCAGCCAUGCCGCGUGAGUGAAGAAGGCCUUCGGGUUGUAAAGCUCUUUCGGCCGGGAAGAAAUCGCAUGGGUUAAUACCCUGUGCGGAUGACGGUACCGGCAUAAGAAGCACCGGCUAACUACGUG
RNAcentral lists this ribosomal RNA (479 nucleotides) under uncultured bacterium. RNAcentral's name for it is "bacterial SSU rRNA". It matches the Rfam family "Bacterial small subunit ribosomal RNA", at positions 30 to 507 of the family's 1533-position model. The record is from RNAcentral.